CGUGGAACCUGCCCAAGAGAUCGGGAUAACACUGGAAACAGAUGCUAAUACCGGAUAACAACAGAUGAUGCCUAUCAACUGUUUAAAAGAUGGUUCUGCUAUCACUCUUGGAUGGACCUGCGGUNCAUUAGCUAGUUGGUAGGGUAACGGCCUACCAAGGUGAUGAUGCAUAGCCGAGUUGAGAGACUGAUCGGCCACAUUGGGACUUAGACACGGCCCAAACUCCUACGGGAGGCAGCAGGU
RNAcentral lists this ribosomal RNA (243 nucleotides) under uncultured Lactobacillus sp. RNAcentral describes it as "partial 16S ribosomal RNA". It matches the Rfam family "Bacterial small subunit ribosomal RNA", at positions 118 to 354 of the family's 1533-position model. Lineage: Bacteria; Bacillati; Bacillota; Bacilli; Lactobacillales; Lactobacillaceae. The record is from RNAcentral.